This 589-nucleotide ribosomal RNA is filed under the name Bacillus anthracis (anthrax bacterium). RNAcentral's name for it is "bacterial SSU rRNA". It matches the Rfam family "Bacterial small subunit ribosomal RNA", at positions 730 to 1319 of the family's 1533-position model. Lineage: Bacteria; Bacillati; Bacillota; Bacilli; Caryophanales; Bacillaceae. The record is from RNAcentral.
UGGUCUGUAACUCACACUGAGGCGCGAAAGCGUGGGGAGCACACAGGAUUAUAUACCCUGGUAGUCCACCCCGUAAACGAUGAGUGAUAAGUGUUAGAGGGUUUCCGCCCUUUAGUGGUGAAGUUAACGCAUUAAGCACUCCGCCUGGGGAGUGCGGCCGCAAGGCUGAAUCUCAAAGGAAUUGGCGGGGGCCCGCACAAGCGGUGGAACAUGUGGUUUAAUUCGAAGCAACGCGAAGAACCUUCCCAGGUCUUGACAUCCUCUGACAACCCUAGAAAUAGGGCUUCUCCUUCGGGAGCAGAGUGACAGGUGGUGCAUGGUUGUCGUCAGCUCGUGUCGUGAGAUGUUGGGUUAAGUCCCGCAACGAGCGCAACCCUUGAUCUUAGUUGCCAUCAUUUAGUUGGGCACUCUAAGGUGACUGCCGGUGACAAACCGGAGGAAGGUGGGGAUGACGUCAAAUCAUCAUGCCCCUUAUGACCUGGGCUACACACGUGCUACAAUGGACGGUACAAAGAGCUGCAAGACCGCGAGGUGGAGCUAAUCCCAUAAAAUCGUUCUCAGUUCGGAUUGUAGGCUGCAACUCGCCUAC